GGCGCAAGGGUGCGUAACACGUGGGUAAUCUGCCAUGAAGUUUGGGAUAACUUGCUGAAAGGCGAGCUAAUACCGGAUGUGAAAAUCGGGUGGCAUCAUUUGAUUUUCAAAGCUGGGGACCGUAAGGCCUGGCGCUUCAUGAUGAGCCCGCGGCCUAUCAGCUAGUUGGUGAGGUAACGGCUCACCAAGGCUAAGACGGGUAGCUGGUCUGAGAGGACGACCAGCCACACUGGAACUGAGACACGGUCCAGACACCUACGGGUGGCAGCAGUCGAGAACUUUUCACAAUGGGCGCAAGCCUGAUGGAGCGACGCCGCGUGGGGGAUGAAUGGCUUCGGCCCGUAAACCCCUGUCAUCUGGGAACAAUGCUCAUUCAAUAACACUGGAUGAGUUGAUAGUACCGGAAGAGGAAGGGACGGCUAACUCUGUGCCAGCCGCCGCGG
This 443-nucleotide ribosomal RNA is filed under the name uncultured bacterium. RNAcentral describes it as "bacterial SSU rRNA". It matches the Rfam family "Bacterial small subunit ribosomal RNA", at positions 97 to 520 of the family's 1533-position model. The record is from RNAcentral.